CCUACGGGAGGCAGCAGUGAGGAAUAUUGGUCAAUGGGCUUACGCCUGAACCAGCAAAGUCGCGUGAGGGAAGACUGCCCUAUGGGUUGUAAACCUCUUUUGUCAGGGAGCAACGCCGGCUACGUGUAGCCGGACUGAGAGUACCUGAAGAAAAAGCAUCGGCUAACUCCGUGCCAGCAGCCGCGGUAAUACGGAGGAUGCGAGCGGUAUCCGGAUUUAUUGGGUUUAAAGGGUGCGUAGGCGGAAUGCCAAGUCGGCGGUAAAAGCGCGGGGCUCAACCGCGCUCCGCCGUUGAAACUGGCGUUCUUGAGUGGGCGAGAGGUAUGUGGAAUGCGUGGUGUAGCGGUGAAAUGCGUAGAUAUCACGCAGAACUCCGAUUGCGAAGGCAGCAUACGGGCGCCCAACUGACGCUGAAGCACGAAAGCGUGGGUAUCGAACAGGAUUAGAUACCCGUGUAGUC
Molecule: ribosomal RNA, 460 nt
Filed under: uncultured bacterium
Lineage: Bacteria
Description: partial 16S ribosomal RNA
Rfam family: Bacterial small subunit ribosomal RNA
Source: RNAcentral